GUUGAAAAGCAGUUUAAACAGCUUACCCCAAAUUAAUGUCGACGUAAUCACAAUAAGGCUCCACCCUGCGUGCUGCUUCCAGUAGAGUGUCUGGAUCAUUGGCACAAAAUUGAACAAAUAAUGGUCGAUCUUCCUGCAUAUUUCAGAGUCGAUAUAUUACAUACAGCGGCGGAUUGACCACUAGCUUAGGAGGUCCAAGACACCCACUCAAAAACAUAUAUGCAAUGUAGUGAAUUCCUGAGAGCGACACUUGUCAUUCUCGUUAAAGAUGCGAGAAUGAAGCAUAGGAGUGUAGGCAGCUUCAGCACCAUACUUCCGACACAGUAAUCGAAAGGGAAGCUCCGAAUUAUCGACCAUUGGUGCUACAAUGAGCUUAGGCUCACCCAGCAUCUUCCAAUGGGCCCACGCUCUCUCAAUUCUGGCAUCGCAGGUUAAGUAGCCAUUUGGACCGACUACAGGUUCUGUUGGUUUGGAACAUAGGUCUUCUUCAGCAGGGGAGUCUGUUAGGGUUUGAGUGGUGGAAUCAAGGGCCAUGGAUGGGUGGGUUAAAUGGUGAUUGGUGAUAAGUAGUAAUGGAGGCGGGCUUUAAUGUACGGAGAGUGUUUUGAGUUCACGAGAUGGCGGCGGUGAUGAACUCAUCGUCUGGUAGGUCUUUUUGGCGUGCGCUGUUUCAGAGUUUAGAGUUCAAACUCUUCCAGCCAAAUUGGAUGGAUAGGGUGGUUGUUACUAAUGCUCAUGUAUCUCAAGGUUAGAGUCAUGUCCAAGCCGGAUUUGAUGUAAUUAGAAAAUGUGGAUUACUCACUCGGUAGAAGAACAUAUCUCUUAUGCCACAGGAUGUGGCAUCGCGCCACCCCGCCAGAUAAGCAAAAAUGACGCCUCUUGGCAUUCUUGAGGGGCUUUAUACCACACUCUCACAUUCUUGAGGCCGAAUGGCAUUUUGGUGUAACAGAAGGUCCCUUCAUCUGUCACAAAUGUCGUCUUUUCUUCGUCUUCCAGAGACAUCUGUAUUUGGUGAUAUCCUUUGUAUACGUCAAGAAACAUUUUAAAGGAUACUGGGCCACUGAGUCCACCUGCACAUCAAUCUCGGGGAGGGGAUAACAAUCCUUGAGGUAGGCCUUGUUUAAGUCUUUGUAAUCCAUUCACAUUCUUUACCUCCCAUCUUUUUUGCCUACCAUAACCGAGUUGGCAAUCCACAUGGGGUAUCUGACUUCCUUUACAAUACCUACCCUGAGGAGCUUUCUGGUCUCUUCACAAGCUGCUCUUCUCUUUUCCGGUUCCAUACUACGUUUCUUUUGCUUUACGGGUCUCAUCCAAUUGUGGGUGUUGAGUCGGUGUUUUAGGAUAUCCCACUCCUCCAUCUCCUGUAUUUUAGGAUCUUCCCCCCACUUUCUAACUUUUUUGAUUUCUUUCCCGCCACACAGAACCAGCUGGGUCUGACCCUGACCCCUUAUUGGGUUCGUAUCACAAACCAAGGCUAUAACAUUGUGCAUCAUAUUUGGUAAGGUUAAUAAAAGUAUCCUUGUAACAUAAGAAGUUGCCAUAUUAAAUGGUAGUUUAAAAAAUCCCCAAGUAAAAGAAAUUAUCAGCAAAUCCUUAAUCAACAUAACUUGAAUGUAAGUAUGAGGAAAUAAGAAAAUCAUGUCAAUUAAUGAUGUGAAUUCAAACCAAUGCACAAUCUAGAUGUGAAUCAAUCAUGUGAAUGAUGAAGAUAUGAGUAAAACAAUAUCAUUAUUAGAAGAUUCCACAUAAUCCAAGAAAGUAUUAAAACAUCACUAGUUUAAAAAGGUCAAACUCAUACAAAAACCGAAAAAGGAUGAUGAUUGAUUGAUGAUCCAACCAUGGAUCAAUGGUAAAAGCACACCAUCUCAAAUAAUCAUAAUCAACUCAAAGAAAGUUAUCUCUAUCCAAGCUAGACAAAACCUAACUUAACAGUAGACAUGUGAUUGAUGUAUCGUGUAAUCGUGAAUUGUUUUGAAUGCCUUAUCUUCUCAAAGAAAGUUUGGUGAGCUCCAAGCUAUAAAAGGCCGACAAGUUUACAGUCGAUUGUGAAUUCACUGUGAAAAUCUUAUCAACUUGAACAAGUUUUAUCAAAUCUAAUCAAGUCUUGUAAACUCUAACUAGUUAAAAGUAGAACUUGACACACAUGACACACGCCAGAUACACCGUUUAACUGUGGAACGAGCGUCUCAUGUCCAGAUAAAACUUUUUCAUUAAAUCUUGUUUGUCCAAAUCACCAUCAUGCAAGCACAUAUAUAAGUCUUUAGAACAAACAUUACAAAGUUGUCUUACUUUACAAUUUAAGCAAUCAUGUCACCUACACCAGGUGUAUCCUGUUGUAUGCUAAAUUUCUAGAUCUCUAUCUCUCUAUAUACGUACAUAGAUACGUAUAGAGAGAGAUAGAGUAAAAAGAGAUGUGAAAAUAAGAUUUAGGGACGUAAGAACAGUGAAAUCCAAUCAUAAAUCAUGCCUAGGUGAUAAUUUGAACUUUGAAUACUAUAUUAUAGAAAUAUCAAGAAAAGAAGUGUCAACCAAAGGGGUGUCAUUUUUUCAAACGAAUGGUGCUCUUUACCAUACUUGACUGAUUGAUAUUUUAUAAAGUGCAAUGAUGGAGUGGGACUUUUAAUUAUAAAACAAAGACACUUUAGUUUUAUACUUACUAUAUUAAAGAGUGUGGCGAUUUUACUUAAAAAAACAAUUACAUUUCAGUACUUUAAUCUUUUACCUUUUUUUUUUAAAUUCCAUUAUUAUAAUUACUUAUAAGUUAUUUUGUUUUUCUUUCAUAACUUAUAGUUAUAAUUGUUGGAAUUAAACUGAGCACACAUGAACAAAC
RNAcentral lists this long non-coding RNA (2830 nucleotides) under Helianthus annuus (common sunflower). Its description in RNAcentral is "hypothetical non coding rna". The record is from RNAcentral. Lineage: Eukaryota; Viridiplantae; Streptophyta; Magnoliopsida; Asterales; Asteraceae.